UACGGAGGGGGCUAGCGUUGUUCGGAAUUACUGGGCGUAAAGCGCACGUAGGCGGCUUUGUAAGUUAGAGGUGAAAGCCCAGGGCUUAACCCUGGAACUGCCUUUAAGACUGCAAGGCUUGAAUCGCGGAGAGGUGAGUGGAAUUCCGAGUGUAGAGGUGAAAUUCGUAGAUAUUCGGAAGAACACCAGUGGCGAAGGCGGCUCACUGGACGCGUAUUGACGCUGAGGUGCGAAAGCGUGGGGAGCAACAGG
RNAcentral lists this ribosomal RNA (252 nucleotides) under uncultured bacterium. Its description in RNAcentral is "partial 16S ribosomal RNA". It matches the Rfam family "Bacterial small subunit ribosomal RNA", at positions 524 to 775 of the family's 1533-position model. The record is from RNAcentral.